CAGAGUGUUGUCCAUGUCGGAACUGCUCAUGAGAUAAAUGUGGUGGAUAUCCCAGCUAUAGUUGAAUCAGAGAAGCACGGUGAAGAAACUACCGCAGACCUCCCAGCUAUAGUUGAAUUAAAGAAGCACGGUGAAGAAACUGCCACAGACCUCCCAGCUAUAGUUGAAUUAGAGAAGCAUGGUGAAGAAACUACCGCAGACCUCCCAACUAUAGUUGAAUUAGAGAAGCACGGUGAAGAAACUACCGCAGACCCUACUGCUCAGAUGACGAACAUUAUUACAGAUAAAGUUGAAGAAAAGAAGCAAGAUGAAGAAAUUACGCCAGGUCCUGCUCCUCAUGCUAUUAAUGUG
This 351-nucleotide long non-coding RNA is filed under the name Triticum aestivum (bread wheat). RNAcentral's name for it is "long non-coding RNA (TAES_LNC014571)". Lineage: Eukaryota; Viridiplantae; Streptophyta; Magnoliopsida; Poales; Poaceae. The record is from RNAcentral.